CUCUUUUGCAUUUUCUUAAAGUCGCCCAGAUAAGUUCGGAAUUACGUAAUUAAACGGCAGCAGCGACAACAACACCUAACAAUUAACAAGCUAACAAUUAAGUAUUUAUUGCUUUCAAUUUGCUGCCCGAUAACAAAAGAAGCCAAAAAAACAAAAAGGAAAAACAGAGAAACUGGAAGAAACAUGCAGAACAAAGUAAAUAAAAACCGACACGGACACACAUACACAUGUACACACACGCAAACCGCUACCUGCGUCGGGCAGCGCAGUUGACGUCGGCAGCGAAAUCAGCGCCUGGCUUCAUUUUCCGUUUGAAUUUGAAGAUGUUUUUAGUGCACUGGCUUUUAGUCCUUAGCACGCGCUUUUAUUGCGCGUCGUCUCAAUAGCAGGUAGGAAUACCAAAAGGCGUCGGUUGGGAGUGUUAACGAAAUCGGAACUUUGCAAUAAAAUUGCAUUUGGAAAAGCAGCGGCGCGCGCACAAUGGGAUAAAUCGGCACCGCGGUUGAUACCCAUUGUUACAUUAUUGUGUUUUCAAAAUCUAGCCAACAAAUGCUUUGCGUUCAAGCCCUCCAUGGAGCAACGUAUAUCAACGGAUUACUUCUGAUGCCGGGGAUUGUCGGGGAUUAUCCAACGUCUUAAAGGCGAAAUCGUGAAAAUCGCAGUAUUUACCUGGCGAACGUGUUAAUCCACAGUUUUGUUCAAGAUCCGAUUCGAUGGCCAAGGCUAAGAUACAUCAGUGGGUGGGUCAACUCCGUGACGUUGGCAAAGUCCUGCGCUGGAACUCUGCCUUAGUAGACAAAGCCAGUUGGGUUCUGUCCAGGAU
RNA transcript from Drosophila santomea, 823 nucleotides. RefSeq lists it as uncharacterized. The transcript has 3 exons. The record is from RefSeq and is a predicted model, not a curated record. Lineage: Eukaryota; Metazoa; Arthropoda; Insecta; Diptera; Drosophilidae.